GACGAACGCUGGCGGCGUGCUUAACACAUGCAAGUCGUACGGUAAGGCCCUUUCGGGGGUACACGAGUGGCGAACGGGUGAGUAACACGUGCGUAACCUGCCCACAACUUUGGGAUAACGCUAGGAAACUGGUGCUAAUACUGGAUAUGUGCUCCUGCUGCAUGGUGGGGGUUGGAAAGCUCCGGCGGUUGUGGAUGGACUCGCGGCCUAUCAGCUUGUUGGUGGGGUAGUGGCCUACCAAGGCGGCGACGGGUAGCCGGCCUGAGAGGGUGACCGGCCACAUUGGGACUGAGAUACGGCCCAGACUCCUACGGGAGGCAGCAGUGGGGAAGAUUGCACAAUGGGCGCAAGCCUGAUGCAGCAACGCCGCGUGCGGGAUGACGGCCUUCGGGUUGUAAACCGCUUUCAGCAGGGACGAAGCUUUUUGUGACGGUACCUGCAGAAGAAGCACCGGCUAACUACGUG
This 465-nucleotide ribosomal RNA is filed under the name uncultured bacterium. Its description in RNAcentral is "partial 16S ribosomal RNA". It matches the Rfam family "Bacterial small subunit ribosomal RNA", at positions 28 to 507 of the family's 1533-position model. The record is from RNAcentral.